CAGCAGUAGCCACGGGAAUACAGAGGGUGCGAGCGUUAAUCGGAUUUACUGGGCGUAAAGCGUGCGUAGGCGGCUUCUUAAGUCGGAUGUGAAAUCCCUGAGCUUAACUUAGGAAUUGCAUUCGAUACUGGGAAGCUAGAGUAUGGGAGAGGAUGGUAGAAUUCCAGGUGUAGCGGUGAAAUGCGUAGAGAUCUGGAGGAAUACCGAUGGCGAAGGCAGCCAUCUGGCCUAAUACUGACGCUGAGGUACGAAAGCAUGGGGAGCAAACAGGAUUAGAUACCCGCGUAGUCCCUGUCUCUUAUAC
Molecule: ribosomal RNA, 304 nt
Filed under: uncultured bacterium
Lineage: Bacteria
Description: partial 16S ribosomal RNA
Rfam family: Bacterial small subunit ribosomal RNA
Source: RNAcentral